GACGGAGGGUGCUAGCGUUGUUCGGAAUGAUUGGGCGUAAAGCGUCCGCAGGUGGCUAUGUAAGUCUGCUGUUAAAGAGUGAGGCUCAACCUCAUAAGAGCAGUGGAAACUACAUGGCUAGAGUGCGUUCGGGGCAGAGGGAAUUCCUGGUGUAGCGGUGAAAUGCGUAGAGAUCAGGAAGAACACCGGUGGCGAAAGCGCUCUGCUAGGCCGCAACUGACACUCAUGGACGAAAGCUAGGGGAGCGAAUGGG
RNAcentral lists this ribosomal RNA (253 nucleotides) under uncultured bacterium. Its description in RNAcentral is "partial 16S ribosomal RNA". It matches the Rfam family "Bacterial small subunit ribosomal RNA", at positions 524 to 776 of the family's 1533-position model. The record is from RNAcentral.